AUCAGGUAGGAAUACCCGCUGAACUUAAGCAUAUCAAUANGCGGAGGA
RNAcentral lists this ribosomal RNA (48 nucleotides) under Diaporthe amygdali. RNAcentral describes it as "partial 28S ribosomal RNA". The record is from RNAcentral. Lineage: Eukaryota; Fungi; Ascomycota; Sordariomycetes; Diaporthales; Diaporthaceae.